GUUCUCUCGCUUGGGAAACUGGACUUUCAAGUCUGUGCAGGUAUAGGUGUAUGGACGACCUGGGGGAUACGGCAGAACUCGAGCUAUAGAAUGGCGAGUAACGCAGGGUUCCAGGAGGGACGAGCUUAGGCCGAUUGCCAACAGAACUGCCAGAGGCCUACGUUGAUAGGCUGUGACCUGCCAGAUAAGACCCGCCUUACCUGAAACUGCUCACCCCCUACCUUCGCAGAGUACGAGUAGCACGGAAGCUGCCGCCACGGAGCCAGCUGUUGCUCACCGCACACAAACCUCACCACUCUACACAGGACACUUGUACAGCACCGAAGUGAAAAGAGCACCUUGCUGUGCAUGACUGGACACAAACAUGCAGGAGUUAUAAUUUGUUUAUUAUUGUUUCUGGGACGGUGAUCCUUUUUUUGUGUGCUCCCUACCAUUGCUGUUAGUGGAGCAAAUUAUUAUUUAAGUGUGGGAAUGUAAACCUUUUUGUGUACACUCCCUACCAUUGCUGGUAGAGGAGUGUAUUAUUAUUUGUUAAUUGUUUUUGGGAGAAUAAAAAUACUUAAUAAUUGCAAGUGCUGGCUGGACAUUGAUUGCUUAACCCUCACGCACCACUCACAUCCUGACAUGUGGUGUCCUUGUGGGAUUAAAAUAUAGAAACCGGAGGAGCUGCGACUGGAAUACGUCAGCCUGAUGGACCGGAUGAGUGUCCUGCUACUGGCCGGACCCCGGAGAGAUGUGGUGGCGGAACUGGAAGUACACGCCGUGGCAGUUCUACUGAAGCCGUGGGUACCCAAGACAACGCCGGAGGAUGGCCUCAAGGCCUUUCUGGUCGCUUUUGAGUGGUGGUCCACGCAGCUGGGGCCCAAUUUGAUUGGGUACACCCAGGCGGCCUACUGGACCAUGACCCAUGAAGCAGCGUUGUACUACGACGCUGUAAAAACUGCCAUCCUCCAGUGCCUCAACAACACAGAGGAGGCGUACCGCCACCGGUUCCAGGAAUACCAGCGGCCAGUAGGAGUCAGAUCCCGCGUGGUGGCACAACAAUUGGCUCACCAGAUGAUUCAAUGGGCCCGGGCUGAUAUCCGCACAGCAGCAGAAGUAGCUGAGCUGUUUACCAUUGAGCAGUUGGCAGAGGUGUCUGAAGAUCCGAGGCUGGCGUAAUAAUCUCCUCCCGCUGUCCACUCGGCAGCGGGACUGUGGCGUCCUUCUACUCUGGUCUGCUACCGGUGCCAUGAGGCCGGUCACGUGAUGACCCAGUAGAGGAUUUUGGUCCGGUUGUCAAUUCACCAGCUGCAAUUAACAUUCCGAUGGGGGAACAGUUACUCCCUGAUCAAAAAUGUGUCAUGGUUCGAGAGAGACCGUAUCGGAUACUGGAGAGUUGCAGGGGUUAUGUCAGCAUGGAGGUGAGGGCGAUGCUCAAGCUGGGAGUCAUUCAGCCUUCCCGGAGCGAGUGGUGCGGUCUUAUUGUGAUGGUCCCCAAAAAGGAUAGCUACACUUGGUUCUGUGUGGAUUUCCGUAAGGUGAAUGCUAUCUCCGAGUUUGAUGUGUACCCUAAGCUCCAAAUAGAUGAGCUCCUCGAUCGACUGGGAGACGCACGGUUGAUUUCGACCUUGGAUCUGACGAAAGGGUAUUGGCAGAUUCCAUUAACCCAGGACUUGCAGGAGAAAACUGCUUUCUCUACCCCAGAUGGCCUGUUCCAUUUCCACACCAUGCCAUUUGGAUUGCAUGGCGCUCCGACCACCUUUUUUUUUUCCAGGGCUUCAUAAAAUAUUAGGCACAUUAGUUAACAUCAGCUACACAAAUUAGACACCAUCGUUCACAAGUCAGCAUCACAGGUUGUAAAGCACUGAAGGGCACCUAAGCAGAAUAAAACAAUGCAGUUAGUUACAUUGGUGAAUUGGAGAUGUGGUUGAGGACCCGGUCAACAAAAUGUAUUAAAAUCAAAAUAGAUCUGAGCUACAGCUAAACAAAGAACAAAAUCUAGCAAGUCCUUAAUCUCACCUCCAAUGGAGUUCAGGUAUCGAGCAUCUGGCACGUAUUCCAUUGGUUAAAUAAUCCCAUUCUCACAUAUAUCAAGAAAGGAACUGGAUUUUCAUUUCACAGGCUAAACUAUCACAUCAGAGCCAUUCUAGAUCUCCCAGUAUCCCUCUCACUAGAGUCAGAGCCGGUGCCGGUGUUAUGACAUAUCCUGCAUCCCCUGGGAUUUCUGCAUCCCCCCCGCCCUUUGGGUCUCUUCAGAACACCUCCUUGCUUUCUUUCACUUCACGUGCAUGAGCAGCUACGGAAGAGCCCUAGGGCCAUGCGAGAAAAUUCAACCUUUAAAAAAACGGAAUUUCACUAUUCUACAUACGACCUGAGUCUGGAACAAGCGGAACAGGCGGAACUCGGAACUCCUGUUGACAGCACUGCUGUCUGAGCCUCAAAUUCACUACCGUCGGGUUUUAAUAAAGUAAAAAAACCUGGCUUUUCCAGUAUACAUUCCUUUUCCCACAGUUUUUUUUUUUUUUUAUUAUUAUUUAGUCGUUGCCAAUUAUUUUUUAUUAUUUUCUCCCCAAUUUGGAAUGGCCAAUUAUUUUUAGGCUCAGCUCACCGCUACCACCCCUGCGCUGACUCGGGAGGGCGAAGACGAACACACGCUGUCCUCCGAAGCGUGUGCCGUCGGCCGACCGCUUUUUUUCACACUGCGAACUCACCAUGCAGCCACCCAAGAGCUACAGCAUUGGAGGACAACGCAGCUCUCGGGCAGCAUACAGGCAAGCCCGCAGGCGCCCGGCCAGACUACAGGGGUCGCUGGUGCCCGGUGAGCCGAGGACACUGUGGCUGACCUAACCCUCCUUCCCCCCGGGGCAAUAUAGAGUUUUUAAUUAAGGCUGUUACAUCAAUAAAAAGCAUCUUGCCCAACCAUAAUUGAUCAUCUUUAUACAGCAUAGAAAAAAUACAUACAUGUUUGGAGCAAUGCAAAUGAUUUAUAUCUAUUAAGUAUUGUAAUGGUCCAUACCCUCGAUGAUAAAUCAGAACACUGAGAGUGUUGCCAGGUACAAUUAAUAAGCAAUGUAUUAAUCGAAAUAACACGGUCCCUGUUUGGACCAAGACCACGCCACAAAACAAUAAUAAAAAGACCCUAACUCCUUCCUUCACCCACUGACCCCCACUUCCACUUCCGCAGCUCUCGCUGUCCCUCAGGCUCUCGCUCCAUGUCACUCCCAGGCUUCAGUCUCCCUCACUCUCUCGCAGGCCCACUCUCACUGCAAUUCAGCUCGGUUCAUUCAUCCGCUCAGCACUUGAAACUUCAACUCUCUCCCCCCACACUCCCGAGCAGGUGGUAUUUCUACCUCCCUGCUGCUCCCACCCACUCUACCCGGACCGACCAACCGGAUCCAUCCCUGGCUCCUCUCACUAUUCUAGGUGGCGUGGUGGCACCCUCACAAUACAUACAACACGUACACAGGAUAAGACAGACAAGACAAAAAACGAGACAACAUACAAGUCCAGCAGACACAGAACGGUGCUCGGGUCGCUACAGUAUUAUAAUGAUGUCACCAAGAUGUCUGUGUCAUUCAUGAUGAAGAACGUAUUUCAAAGGUAAUUUCAAUUUUUUUAUGUGUGCACACAUAUAUCUUUGAAAAAAUAAAGAAUGUUUUGCACCAAUGCGUUUUACACACCUGCCCUCACCCGCAGCUCUAUAUUAGUUCAUUAUGGCAAGCCUUUAAAGAACGCCUUGGAAAAUAUGAAAUUAUCUUGGGCCGAUGCGUUCUUCAAAUAGAAAUGACAGCUGUAAUGAACCAGUGACGUCAUUUCAAUAGUUAAUACAAGUAUGUAAAUCGCAUUGCCCCAAACCUUUAACUAUUUACCGUAAGAGAUACAAGUCUAUUACGAAACAUGUCGCUUUAGCCUCUAUUUGUUCAGAAAUGUUUUCCGAAACUUUGUGCUUACAUUUUUUCUUAAAUAAGUGAUUCACCAAAGUUUUUAUUUAAAAAAAAAACUGUCAGCCUUUUCUGUUGGAUUUUCUACCUGUUUUAUACACAUAUUAAGGGUGCUUUACAUUUGGACCACCUUAAAAGUAACCUAAUUUGAAUGUUGUGAUGUUUUUUCAGUAACAUGGCAUGAAAGAGCAGACUACAUGAAGCACACAGAUCUAGAAGGGGAGGGUGAAAGCCGCAACAAGACAAAAGUGCACGGACGGGGCACUAAAUUAAUGCAAAAUGUCUUGAAAAAUCUCUAGUGUACGGUGACAGAAAUACGAUGAUUCUUGGUUGUAAAUCUCCCUCCCGACCUGUGAGGGCGCUAAGCAGCGAGAACAGUUCCCUGGACAGGCUGACCUGACAGUUCUUUCCCAAGGUUCAAAGGAAGUCAGCCAGCUAGAAAGGGGGCGGGACUCAGUUGAAUUAACGCAUUGACCCGGAACGGAAAUACCGUGGCAGCCGCAGAUUGGCGAGGCGGUUGCACUCAUUUACCAAGGGGUCAUGUGGGACAGCAUAAAAGGGGACGGAGACUCAUAAUCUGUUCCUUUGCUUUGGUUUGUGUUUUGAACCUGGAUGGACUGUGAGAGACCUAGUGUGAUAACAGUAUCAUCAGUGUUUUGUUUGUUUGUUUGUAAUUUGUCUUGUUUGUCAAUUACUAGACGGCUAACACGUCGCCAAGGGCCAGCACAAAGCCGGAACAACACUGCACUACUGUCACAGAAUAAACUGUAUCACCCACCAUGAGCACUACUGCAUGCACCCAGGACUGGUGACUGUGUUAGUAUUAUUGUGGGGCGAAUAUAAUGUGUUUAUUGUUUGGGACUGCAACCUGUUGUUAUUUACUCCAUGCAGUACACAUUGUUGUGUAUUGCCGGGGUCCUAUUAUUUGGUCACCAGACCUGGAUAUCAUAAAGCCCCUUUUUCCAACCGGAUGAAAUCCCUCUGUCUGUUUGUUUCACCCACUGCAUCACUCCUGCACCUGUAUCCACUCAACCACUUGUUCCCAUGUACACAAUAAAAAUAAUAAUUAUUAUGAGUUGUCAUACUUUAAGUGUGUGGUAUAGAAGACAUUGUUCACUGAUUUAAUGUCCUCAUGGGGCAGGAUUGUCUUUGUCCGUGAGCAUUUUGAUUGAUUAAAAGAUAUGCAAAUGAUUAUUCUUUUUAAUAUUUAUAGUGAUGGAGUAAUUGUGUGGUAUAGUUUUAAAGACACUUUGCAGUAUUUUAGUGACCAGUUCGGGCAGUGUUGUCCAGAUUGAAAAAUGA
Long non-coding RNA from Acipenser ruthenus (sterlet), 5225 nucleotides. RefSeq lists it as uncharacterized. The transcript is spliced from 4 exons. The record is from RefSeq and is a predicted model, not a curated record. NCBI's taxonomy places the organism in Eukaryota, Metazoa, Chordata, Actinopteri, Acipenseriformes, Acipenseridae.